UCAUUUCGUCAGCGUCCAUCAUCUACAACGCAAGGAGGGGGCAGGUGGAGUUUAAAGGCAGCAUCUCCGACACUGCCAGACUACCAGAUCAGUUACAGCCCAGUUUUAAGACGAUAAGAUAUUGGAAUAGAGUGAAGCCAUUUGGCCCAUCGCGUCUACACCAUAAUUCCAUCAUGGCUGUUCUAUUAUCCUUCUCAACCCCAUUCUCCUGCCUUUCCCGUAACCUUUGACGUCCUGACCAAACAAGAACCUAUCGCCCUCCGCUUUGUUCGGUGUUAUCUCUGAAGUAGAAUCCAAAGCCUCAGACUCAAGGGGAAACACUGAAAAUAAAUAAAAACAGACCCCCCCCCCCCGAACCAUCCACCAGAGAGAAGCGCUGAAGGCGAGGUUUCUAACUCCCCGGGGGGAAUCGGACACCGGCGGACAAUGGAAAGGCGUGGGGACGCGGCGAACACAAUGGGACGGGAAGAGUUGGGACGAUUCGAAAUCUUUGCUCGGAGAGGGAGCUCGGGCACGGUUGCAGGAAAGCCCGAGGGAGCAUCAACGGGGGGUCAGCAGCAGCGUGAACUCAGAAACGGAUUAUCCUCUGAACCAGUUUGAUCGACUCACUACAGUUGGAUGCCAGGGAUCCCUCUGCACCAAUAUCCAACAACAGCAAGCAUCAGAAAAGGGAAACACAAGACAUCCUGCAGAUGCUGGAGAUCCCGAGAAACAAAGUGCUGGAGGAACUCAGCAGCCUGAUGGUUGAGGGGUGGUAACUGUUCUUGAACCUGGUGGUGUGAGUCCUGAGGUACUUGUGCAGCAGCGAGAACCGAGCGCAGCCUGGACGGUGAGGAUCUUUGAUGAUGGAUGCUGCUUUCCUGUGACAGGGUUUGAAAUUGGACGCAGCCAGUAAACAGGUGAAGCCAAAGCCAUUUUUCUUGAUUGCACCAUCACCUCUCAUCACUAGUGUCGCACCUGUAAUCCUCAUGUUUCAAUAAUUGAUUAGCACAUGUUCAGACAGCCGAAUAUUUCCGUUGCAGCUUUGCUUUGGCAAGAGUAUGUUAUGGGGCUUUGCUUAGGAGAAUGCAAUUUCUUGCAUUGUUAGAGAUUUUUCCAUCCAGUGCUUCUGAGCAUGGUGAAUUGGUAAAUUAAACUUGGUAAAUUAAACCUGCAGAACCAUCCUCUCUAUCUCCAGAGAUUUUUUUGGGAGUGAUGUGAAUCUUUUGAUGACAAUUCACAUUGGAAAAUGGUUUGAUCAAACAACUACUCAAAUAUUAAGACUUUUCUCGUGGUACAUUAAAGCAAAGUUCUCUCCAGGCACAGUAUGAACAAAGGCAAGCAAGAGUCCCAGCCAAUUUACCUGUUAGUUUAUAUCUACUCUCAGUGACCACUUUAUUAGGUCUUUCAUGUGUCCACUAAAGUGGUCACUGAAUGCAUGUUCACGAUCUUCUGCUGCUGUAGCCCAUCCACUUCAAGAUUCGACAAGUUAUGCAUUCAGAGUAGCUCUUCUGCACACCACUGUUACAACGCAUGGCUACUUGAGUUACUGUCAGCUUCAUGUCAGUUUCGACGAGUCUGGCCAUUCUUAUAGAACAUAGAAAACCUACAGCACAAUACAGGCCCUUCGGCCCACAAAGUUGUGCUGCACAUGCCCCUACCUUAGAAAUUACUAGGCAUACCUAUAGCCCUCUAUUUUACUAAGCUCCAUGUAACUAUCCAAAAGUCUCUUAAAAGACCCUAUCGUAUCCGCCUUCACCACCGUUGUCAGCAGCCCAUUCCACACACUCACCACUCUCUGAGUAAAAAACUUACUCCUGAUAUCUCCCCUAUACCUACUCCCCAGCACCUUAAACCUGUGUCCUCCUGUGUCUUCUCUGACCUCUUACAUUAACAAGCUGUUUUCACCCACAGAACUGCCACUCACUGGAUGUAUUUUUAUGUUUUGCACUGUUCUCUGUAAAUUCUAACGCUGGGGUUCCAGGACAGGGGUCCACUGACCCCUUAAUUACUGAUUUUGGUCCGUAGCAUAAAACAAUUUUGGGAACCCCUGCCCUAGGGACUGUUGUGUAUCAAAAUCCGGGGAGAUCUGCAGUAUUUGAGAUACUCAAGCCACGCCAUCUGGCACCAACAAUUAUUCACUGUUCAAAAUCACUUGGAUCACAUUUCUUCCCCAUUCUGAUGUUUGGUCUGAACAACAACUGAACCUCUUGACCACGUCUGUGUGCUUUUAUGCAUCGAGUUGCUGCUACCUGAUUGACUGGUUUACAGGUGCACCUGAUGAAGUGGCCACUGAGGGUAUCAUUUUCUGUCUUGCGUCACCUUGCCAGGUAUACGCUGCCUGUCAUCUUUCUCAUAUUACAAUGAUGACUGCACUUGGAAAACAAUUUUAUUGCCUCUAUACCACUCCGGGAUGUCUUAUAGAAGGACGCCCCAGAGGAUUUUCCCAUCCCUCUAUCACAGCAACAAAGAAAACAACCAGAGCAACACUCGCAAAAUGCUGGAAGAACUCAGCAGGUCAGGCAGCAUCUGUGGAGAGGAAUAAACAGUUAACAUAAGAACAGACCAUGCAUCCAUCCCCUCCCAGGUGUUCACUUCAUCCCCUCUGUCUCCCCCACCCACCUUCCCUCUCACUUCAUCUCACCUAUCACCUGCCAACUUGUACUUCCUCCUCCCCCCACAUUUUUAUUCUGGCUUCUCCCCCCUUCCAUGCCAGUCCUGAUGAAGUGACUCACUCUUCAGCAGUUUAUCUCAGUCCCAUCAGGGAAGAGGCUUCAUAGCAUCCAGAUUCUAAAAAAAAGACUUUCCCCAAGCAGUGAGGCUGAUUAACACCUCCACCCACCAAUCCUUCCCUCCACACCCCCCCCCCCCCACCACCACUACUUUAUCAGUUCCAGUCAGUCACAUCAUGUACAGACACUCCUGUAACUAGACUAGUUGAGUGGUGUCGCAGCAACAACCUGGCAUUCAACGUCAGUAAGAUGAAAGAGCUGAUUGUGGACUUCAGCAAGGGUAAGACAAAGGAACACACCCAAUCCUCAUAGAGAGAUCAGAAGUGGAGAGAGUGAGCAGUUUCAAGUUCCUGGGAGUCAAGAUCGCUGAGGGUCUAACCUGGUCCAAACAUAUCGAUGCAGUUAUAAAGAAGGUAAGGCAGCGACUAUACUUCAUUAGGAGUUUGAAGAGAUUUGGCAUGUCAACAAAUACACUCAAAAACUUCUAUAGUUGUACCAUGGAGAGCAUUCUGACAGGCUGCAUCACUGUCUGGUAUGGAGGGGCUACUGCACAGGGCUGAAAGAAGCUGCAGAGGGUUGUAAAUCUAGUCAGCUCCAUCAUGGGUACUAGCCUACAAAGUACCCAGGACAUCUUCAAGGAGCGGUGUCUCAGAAAGGCAGUGUCCAUUAUUAAGGAUCUCCAGCACCCAGGGCAUGUCCUUUUCUCAUUGUUACCAUCAGGCAGGAGGUACAGAAGCCUGAAGGUGCACACUCAGCGAUUCAGGAACAGCUUCUUCUCCUCUGCCAUCCGAUUCCUAAAUGGACAGUGAACCCAUGAACACCACCUCACUUUUCAAAUAUAUAUUAUUUCUGUUAUAUAAUAUAUUAUUUCUGUUUUUUGCACGAUACAUAUAAUGUUAUUUAUUGUUUAUUGUUAAUUUUUUUCUUCUGCUGUAUUAUGUAUUCCAUGUAUGCUGCUAAGUUAACAAAUUUCACAACAUAUGCUGGUGAUAAAGGACCUGAUUCUGACUCUGAUUCAUCUUAAAUACCUGUACAUACAAUCAGCUUUUUAAUUAUUAUUGUAUUCUUUAUCUUAUUGUGUUUUUUGUGCUUCAUCAAACCCAGAGUAAUGAUUAUUUCAUUCUCCUUUACACUUCUGUACUGGAAAUUACUUUAAGAAAUCUCGAACUUGAAACAUCAACUGUUUAUCCAUUUCCAUCGAUGCUGCCUGACCUGCUGAGUUCCUCCAGCAUUUUCUAUGUGUUGCUCUGGACUUCCGGAAUCUGCAGAACUUCUUGUGCUCAUAAGACCACAGGGGAUUGUUGACUGAAUCAAUUUGUUUUAGUGCAUUCAAACAGAAUUGUUCUGAUGUAUUGCUGCCCAGUUAGUGGUGGAAAUGGAAUAAAAUGAAUCAAUCAAAUUCAAUGUGUGAAUAAUUGAAAGUAGUGAAAUCACAACAAGAGAAAAUCUGCAGAUGCUGGAAAUUCGAGCAGCACACACAAAAUGCUGGAGGAACUCAGCAGACCAGGCAGCAUCCAUGAAAAAAAAGUACGGUCGAUGUUUCAGGCCCAGACCCUUUUUUUAAAACUUUUUUUAUUGAGUUUUCAAAUGAUUACAGAAAGAAAAAAAUAUAUACCCUUCCCCCUUCCCCUUAGCCCCUCCCCCUAACAUCCCUAUAGAAAAAAAGAAAAAGAGGAAAAAAGAAAGAAAGAGUGCCUGGAUAUCGGAAGAUCCCCACAUGCUCCACGGAGUUCGUAAUAACUUUAGUAUAUAUAUUUAUUUAUUUCCUCAAAUAACCAAUUAUUUUAUCUUCGGAGCACCUAUGUAUUUAAUCCUGUCUUUUGUAAAUAAGGGCGCCAAAUUUUCAAAAAUAUUUAGGCCCAGACCCUUUGGCAGGAUUUAAAAGUAGUGGGUGAACGGAGGUAAGAAUUAAAUGGGGCUGCACAGUAGUAUAGUGGUUAGCACAUCGCUUUGCAGUACAGGCGACCCAAGUUCAAUUCCCACCGUGGACCGUAAGGAGUUCAUACGUUCUCCUUGUGACCGCGUGGGUUUCCUCCGGGUGCUCUGGUUUCUUCCGGCAGUCCAAGGACCUACUGGUUGGUAGGUUAAUUGGUAAAUUGCCCGUGAUUAGGCUGGGGGUUAAAUCAGAGGAUUGCUGGGUGGCGUGCCUGGAAGGAUCUAUUCUGCGCUGUAUCUCAUUAAAUAAAUAAACCACAAUAGAAUCUGACUAAAGAAUUUAUACUCACCAAUUAACCUGCAUAUGAUAGCAACAGGUGUGGGAGGAAAACUUAUCAGGGAGAACAUGCAAAGUCCACACAGGACCAACUGCUGGAACUGAGAGGGAGAAGCUCUCCUCAUGUGAUUCCAGAUCCUACUGUCUGCACUAUAAUUGCUUAUAAUUACCUGUGUGUCUAGUGCUUGUGAACACACACACUCUCUCUCUCUCUCUCUCUCUCUCUCUCUCACACACUCAAACCCCAUUAGCUACAUAUACACCGACAGACAAAGAGUAUUAGAUGUACAUCCGUGUGGAACAUCUCAGUACGUCAGAUAACCUGCUUUAGAACUGGCAAUGUACCGGCCAGUGGUGUAGUGCCAUCAGCACCAGACUUUGAGGCGAGGGUUCGAAUCCGGCCAGCUCCCUGCACGCUCUCCAUCCGUGCCGGGCUGAGCAUCGACCCAGCCACUCAGCCCCGUAAAAACCGGACGAGUGCCAAAGAAACGGCAAGGUGCCGCCCAAUGUGCGACAAGGCGCGGAGAGGAAUUACACAGAACCGGUAAUUGAGGACAAACAUCUCCCUUUCUCUGCCACGACUUUGACAAGCACCUGGGAAACUUUCACAGUUCAGCACUUGCUUUCUCUAACUCAGGAGGUGAUUCAGCCCAUCAGAUCUAGCCCUCAGGGAAUUCUCAUCACUCCCCUAGACAGGGGAGGACAAGAGAAAGGGUAUGAGUGGAGUCAGAAUGGGGAAUGGAAAAGGAGGAGGGAGGAGAAAUUUCUAGAAGUUAGAGAAAUUGCUGUUCAUGCCAUUAGAUUGGAGGCUGCCCAGACAGAAUAUGAGAUGUUGCUCCUCCAACCUGAGGGUGGCCUCAUUGUGACAGUAGAGGAGGCCAAGGACCAACAUGUUGGAAUGGGAAUGGGAAUGGGGAUUGGAAUUAAAAUGGUUGGCCACUGGCAAAUCCUCCCUGUUGUGGACAGAGCAAAGGUCCCCCAAUCUAUGUCAGGACCCAGCAAUGUUGAGGAGGCUACGCCGGAUACAGUAGGUGGCCCUGACAGGGGUGAGAAUGGAGGCUGGCAGGUGUAGUGUUGUCUCACAUGAAAGGAGAGUUUGGGGCUCGGAAUGGCGGUGAGCGAGGAGCGGAAUGGACAGCUGUAGUGCGUGUUCUGCUUGCAGGGUUUAGCGCCGGCAGCAGGGAGGAUUUUCCAGAGGCUCACCAGUUUAAUUUCGCUCCCCAUUCCCACUCCGACAUGUCAGUCCACUGUCAUGGUGAGGUCACACUCAGGCUAAAGGAGCAGCACCUCAUAUUUCAUCUGGGUAGCCUCCAACCUGAUGGCAUAAACAUCGAUUUCUUUGUUUCCAUACAUUUUGCCCAAAACUUUGACUCUUUAUUCCCUCCAUAGCUUCUGUCUAAACUACUGAGUUUCUCCAGCAUUUUGUGCCUGUUCCUCUGCAUUUCCAGUAUCUGCAGAAUCUAUUCUGUGUUUAGAACUGAAAUAAUGUCUACUGCUUCUCCUUUCCUUCCCGCUCAACCUCCCUCCCCAACCCCAGGUGAUAACACCCCCUGGACAAUGUCCUCAGACAGCUUCUCCCUCACAAUGAAUCCCAGAGUUAAAAGCCGGGGUUGAACCUGUGGCUGGUGGGUGCUCUGGUGCAGGGCAGCUCUGCCCUCUGGUGGCAAUGAGUUCCACACGCGUGGUGGCUGUUCGAGCCCCGGCUGGCUCCUGUUACCUGGGUCAGUGUCAGCUACAGAUACCCACUUGCCAUCACAGUCAGCUGACCUCCCUUCUCACAGGACCCACAGUUACCUUCGCGAAAGAAGGGUGGCACGAAGAAUGGGCUUACUGUAUGUCAGGCCGUAACUUAAUUUUAUUGACACAGCACGAAGUAGGAAGUAAAUUUAUUAUCUAAGUACAUAUAGGAAAUGUCACCCCUGACCUUCAUUUUCUUGCAGGCAUUCGCAGUAAAUGCAAGAAACACAAUAGAAUCAAUGAAAAGCCACCCCCAACAGGAUGGUCAAACAACCAGUGUGCUGAAGAUAACAAACUGUGCAAAUACAAAAAGAAAAAAUGAAAUAAUAAACAAACAAUCAAAUAAAUAAAUAGUUCAAAGGGCUUGUGGGGCCACAUCCUGGACUUGGUCUUCCUUACACCAGCACAUGGAGAUGUCCGUGGAGGAACGCUGCCAGUCGGCAGGAGUACGUGCUGAGGGACCCACUGAAGCUCGAUGCAGCCACUGCAAGGAUUCAGUGGGGAAGGACCACAGUAUAGAGUCCUACAAGAGGGAGGGGCUGGGUGGAUGAGGAAGCCCCUCAAUUACUGUAGUAACAUACCACCUCAAGGGUCUACAUGACAGGCAACAAUGCUAUUGGUUUUUAAGAAAUGUAUUGAAUACUACUUAUUGACUAAAUGUAAGGAAAACAAGGUGUUGCACAGUUAAUUCUUGUCAAUAAUUUUGAAAUUCAUGAAUUUAUGAAAGUUUGUUUUGAUAUAUUAAAAAAAUGAUGU
This is a long non-coding RNA of Hypanus sabinus (Atlantic stingray), 7416 nucleotides long. RefSeq lists it as uncharacterized. The transcript is spliced from 4 exons. Lineage: Eukaryota; Metazoa; Chordata; Chondrichthyes; Myliobatiformes; Dasyatidae. The record is from RefSeq and is a predicted model, not a curated record.